UGGCCACUAAAGUUACAGGAACUCCUUAAUUGCCACCUUAUCAGUCCAUCAACCGAAUUCCAGGAUGAUUGACACAGAAAUCAGGGUGGGGGAGCCGGGAACCAAAUUUAAGAUCAGCUGCAGCAACAACAGCAGUAGCCAGGCUGGCAGGAGAGACCAACAGAGUUUUGUCUGGCGCUUAGUUGACUGGAAUCCAAAGAAGAUAGAAAGUAGGAUUGUGGCCAGGCGCUAAGGAUCUGGAACGAAUGGGAGAGAAGUAAUUUCUCUACAAGGAAUACUGACUCUCAGUUAAGAUUUAUAACCGUCAUGGCUUUGCCAUCCACUUUGCCUUACGACCGUGUAAUGGUGAACAUGGAAAGGGAAGAGGUUUCUCUGGAGCGCACCAAAUCCCAGCUGGAUCCCCGUCUCAUAAGCACUACCACUGGCAGCAUAGAAAACUCCUGCCACAACUGCCUGCUCCCUUUUGGGGUGCUGGCCAGCAUCAUUGGCCUAGUAACUACAAGUGUUGCUUGUGCCGGUCAUUUCUCUGACACCAUCCUGACUGUCAUAGGUGGAGUCAUGCUGGCUACCGGGCUUCUCGGAGUGACCGUCAGUUGCAUCUGGCACCAAUACAGGAGAAGGAAGCGCUGCGGCAGCUGGACCAUCCUAACAAGUGAAACGGAAGCAAAGAAACCAGUUAUCUGAAGAUCCGGAACCAAAUCCAGAACCAGAACCAGGAGAGUUAACCUAGGACAAAAUCUCAUUUGGCCUCAUUGGGCAAAGCUCAUUUUGAACUAAUUGAUUACUUUCAGAAUUUGUUCCCACCUUUCUAAUUUUCUCUUAGAUUAAACAAAAGCAACAAUAAAAUCAGGGGGAGAAAAGAAGAAGGAAUCAAAAGGCAGACAAGAAAAAAAACGGAAGUAUAAAUACAUUCAAAUGAAUGUAUUGAAAAUUAACAUAAAAGCAUUCUACUUUCACAUGCCCACAGACUGAGCGGAUAGGAGGCCCUUCUACCUGGGAACAUACUCUAUAAAAACAACUUUUUUUAGCACAAAAUGAAACACAGGUGGUCCUUGUUUAGCAUCUGCCUUGUUUAGGAACUGUUUGCAGUUACGAUGGUGAUGAGAAAGUAAUUUUGCUAUCCUCUCAUUUACAGACCUCUUUUGCAAGUCUAUACAGCAAAGAAAAGUAGAAGAUCAUCAGCACAGUCACAGCUUCAUUUAGCAACCAUUUUGCUAAACACCCAGUUGUGGUUGCUAAACGAGGACUACCUAUAAAUUUGAGGCAAAAUGAAAGGAUUCUAGAAGAAAAGCAAUGUUCUGUGAAAUCAGUGGUUGCACCAUUAAAGCUUAUGGAAAUGCAGUGGUCUCAGGUAACCCAUUCUCAGCUUCAGAAGAGGAAGUCAUCAAACAAACUUUACAGGAUUGUUGUGAAGACCAUUGCAGUGUGAAAAACUUAAAAACACUGUGUGAGGUACACAAGAAAUGUACAUAUUGUAUUUUUCCAUUUCUGUUAAAAGAAUAGGCAUAUAGAGGCACUUAGCUAAGAUACAUUUUGGAAAGGAGAUAUAAUAAGCUGAAGGAAUAGAGAGAAAUUAUAUAUAUACUGAUUUAAAGGAUACUUUUAGAAUAGUGCACACUAUUGUAGAUGCACACUAUUGUAGAAUAACAUAUAGCUUAUGAAUAACAUUAUUUAUUUUAUAUGGCUUAUUCUUUAUAAAAACUGCUUAGAGUUAGUAUUUUAAAGUAUAACUAUGAACCAAAGUGCAGCCUUGUUUAACUGAAGCAUGAACACACAUAGGUUCUAGAUGCAAAGCAGGUAUUCUUAUAGAAAAACAAGGGAAAUCUUUUAUAAUUGCAAUUAUCCAGUUUGGGUAACAGUUCACCUUGUAGAUAAGGAGGCUAUACCUGAGUUAGCAAGAUGUUACAAAUCACAUCACAGAAAAGGGAGUGAAGAUAAGACAGGAACAAAAGGGGCAUUUGAUCUAAUAAUUGGAGGGUCCGGUAAUAGUUGCUAGGCGGUCGGAAAGCAUGUGACCUGGGUGGGCCUAUCAACUGGGCUCACUUUGGAAGGAUGUGGCAUGAUGUACGGGACAGGGUAUAAUAACCUAUGCAAAAAUUGAUUCAAGUGUGGACUCUGGGAUUUGCCAUUGCCAAGAGUUCCACCACUUUUGCAAAAGCUUUAAUAAAACUUGUUUUGUUUUCCAACACCCUUGGAGUCGAAUUUUUAUUCCUCAUAAUUGCAUUAAGAUGAAAAUCUCCCACAGACCAAAGCUCAGUUCCUGGUGGAU
Crotalus tigris (Tiger rattlesnake) is the source of this 2269-nucleotide long non-coding RNA. RefSeq lists it as uncharacterized. NCBI's taxonomy places the organism in Eukaryota, Metazoa, Chordata, Lepidosauria, Squamata, Viperidae. The transcript is spliced from 3 exons. The record is from RefSeq and is a predicted model, not a curated record.